GCAAAAAUUGUAAAAUACUAAGUAAACUUCAAUACAUAAUUAUUGGCAAUUCAUCACCAACAGUUUUAUUUUAUCUGUAACUUUAGAAGUUAGUGGGCAAUUACAAUGAAAAACUAAAAUAAAAAGCUCUACUAGUUUUGAGAUACACUUAUUGCAGUGCCUAACCGUAUGAGACUAUGAACUACUUAUUUUGUGUAGGAUUUGAUUUGCUUGGGGUUAUUGCUCGGAAACAUGACUCCACCUGCUUUGAAGGAUCUUUUCUAUGACCCCUCAAAUCUUUCAGAGCUUGAUGAGAAGAUGAUUUCACUCUGAAUAUCAAAGAGUAAUUAACCUCAGUUGAUGACACCACUAACAGUGUGAAAGCAAGAGCUGCCAGUACCAAGGACCAGGCCUUCAUUGUUGUGGUGGAGGAUUCUGUGUAGUGCCCGUGGCAUUACUUAAGAGCC
Molecule: long non-coding RNA, 446 nt
Filed under: Glycine max (soybean)
Lineage: Eukaryota; Viridiplantae; Streptophyta; Magnoliopsida; Fabales; Fabaceae
Description: long non-coding RNA (GMAX_LNC001407)
Source: RNAcentral